UGGGGAAUAUUGGGCAAUGGGCGCAAGCCUGACCCAGCAACGCCGCGUGAAGGAAGAAGGCUUUCGGGUUGUAAACUUCUUUUCUUAGGGACGAAACAAAUGACGGUACCUAAGGAAUAAGCCACGGCUAACUACGUGCC
This 140-nucleotide ribosomal RNA is filed under the name uncultured bacterium. Its description in RNAcentral is "partial 16S ribosomal RNA". It matches the Rfam family "Bacterial small subunit ribosomal RNA", at positions 355 to 509 of the family's 1533-position model. The record is from RNAcentral.